AGACACGGCCCAGACUCCUACGGGAGGCAGCAGUGGGGAAUAUUGCACAAUGGGGGAAACCCUGAUGCAGCGACGCAGCGUGCGGGAUGACGGCCUUCGGGUUGUAAACCGCUUUCAGCAGGGAAGAAGCGAAAGUGACGGUACCUGCAGAAGAAGUACCGGCUAACUACGUGCCAGCAGCCGCGGUAAUACGUAGGGUACGAGCGUUGUCCGGAAUUAUUGGGCGUAAAGAGCUCGUAGGUGGUUGGUCACGUCUGCUGUGGAAACGCAACGCUUAACGUUGCGCGUGCAGUGGGUACGGGCUGACUAGAGUGCAGUAGGGGAGUCUGGAAUUCCUGGUGUAGCGGUGAAAUGCGCAGAUAUCAGGAGGAACACCGGUGGCGAAGGCGGGACUCUGGGCUGUAACUGACACUGAGGAGCGAAAGCAUGGGGAGCGAACAGGAUUAGAUACCCUGGUAGUCCAUGCCGUAAAC
This 473-nucleotide ribosomal RNA is filed under the name Brevibacterium aureum. RNAcentral describes it as "bacterial SSU rRNA". It matches the Rfam family "Bacterial small subunit ribosomal RNA", at positions 322 to 807 of the family's 1533-position model. Lineage: Bacteria; Bacillati; Actinomycetota; Actinomycetes; Micrococcales; Brevibacteriaceae. The record is from RNAcentral.